GUUUACGGCCAUACCACCCUGUCUGCGCCUGAUGUCAUCUGAUCUUGGAAGCUAAGCAGGGUUGGGCCUGGUUAGUA
RNAcentral lists this ribosomal RNA (77 nucleotides) under Sinocyclocheilus anshuiensis. The record is from RNAcentral. Lineage: Eukaryota; Metazoa; Chordata; Actinopteri; Cypriniformes; Cyprinidae.